Molecule: ribosomal RNA, 234 nt
Filed under: uncultured bacterium
Lineage: Bacteria
Description: partial 16S ribosomal RNA
Rfam family: Bacterial small subunit ribosomal RNA
Source: RNAcentral
CGGACGGGUGAGUAACGCGUGGGUAACCUGCCUCAUACAGGGGGAUAACAGUUAGAAAUGGCUGCUAAUACCGCAUAAGACCACAGCGCCGCAUGGUGCAGGGGUAAAACUCCGGUGGUAUGAGAUGGACCCGCGUCUGAUUAGCUAGUUGGUGGGGUAACGGCCUACCAAGGCGACGAUCAGUAGCCGACCUGAGAGGGUGACCGGCCACAUUGGGACUGAGACACGGUCCAA